Gossypium arboreum is the source of this 631-nucleotide long non-coding RNA. RefSeq lists it as uncharacterized. The transcript is spliced from 2 exons. The record is from RefSeq and is a predicted model, not a curated record. Lineage: Eukaryota; Viridiplantae; Streptophyta; Magnoliopsida; Malvales; Malvaceae.
AUUGUGCUCUUGGAAAGUAUCCAUUUAUCAAACCAGGAAGCAUUUACAAUGAAUUAGAGGAUCACCCACAUCCUCUAACUUUUUUAAGGAAGAUUUUUUCUGGUCCUAGAUGCCACAAAUGUGGUCAACCAUGUCGAGAUUUGGUUCUUGAAUGUGCAGAUUCUUCAUGUGAUUAUAUUGUGCAUUGGGACUGUGUAAAGCCUGCUUACCUUCGUAGCAAAAAAACUGCACGUCAUAAAACUGAAACAUAUGAAAUCGUUCCAGAGACCACCGAGGGCUCGUCUUGCAUAAUCUUGUGAAGAAGAAGAAGAAGGAGGAGGAGGAGAAGAAGAAGAAGGAGGAGGAGGAAUAUAAUGUUUAUUAAAUGUCAUAAUUAUUGCAAUGCAUAUAUUGUGUGUUCAUUCGUGGAUUCAUACAAUUUAACAAUAAUGCCUGUGGGGAAGUUGUUGCUGCCCCUUCCAUGUUCUGUUGUAAUUAACUUAUUUUAUUGUUUAGUCAUCGAGUUGGGUCUUGUACAGGUUUCAAUUAAGUUGAAUUUGAUUUUUUGAAUCUAAAAUAUUUGACAAAAUAAAAGUAUUGAUCGAUUUGGAUAUUAUGUUUCUCAAUAGAAUACUUUGAGAUAAUUUGAUAA